AAAAAUUUUAUUGGAGUAUAGUUGCUUUACAAUGUUGUGGUAGUUUCUACUGUACAGCAAAGUGAAUCAGCUAUACGUAUACAUAUAUCCCCUCUUUUUUGGAUUUCUUGCCCAUUUAGGUCAACACAGAGCAUUGAUACCUUUUAUAUUUAGGUCUAUAAUUCACUUGGAGUUGAUUUUUGUGUAUGGUGUGAGUUAGGGGUCUAUUUCUAUGUUUUUCCAUAUGGACAUGCAAUUGUCCCAGUCCAGUUAUUGAAAAGAACACACAUUGUCUACUGUAGUGCCAGUUGUAUCGUAAGUCAGGUGUCCAUAUAUGUGUGGGUCUGGACUCUCUUUUCUUUUCCAUUGAUCUGUGUGUUCUAUCCUUGUACCAGUACUAUGGUGUUAAGUACUGUCACUUUCUAAAGUAUCUUGAUAUCAGUCAAGUGGGUCCUUCCAACUUGUUUCUUCUUUUUUAAGAGUAUUAUGGCUAUUUUUGGUCAUUUGUAUUUGCCCAUAAAAAUUUUAAAACCAGCUAGUCAAAUUCUGCACAUUCACACUUGUGUGUUUUUGUGCACACAUGUGCAUACACACAUGUACACACAUGAAAUCACCACCAACAAAAACAGUGUAAAAUCCCCACAUGUUGAAUUACUCAUUGAGAUUGCUUUGGCUAAAAUCAGUGUAAUGAGAAUUGACAUCUGAGUCGUCUAACCCAUGAACAUGGUAUAUCUGUCCAUUUAUUUAGGAUUAUUACUUUUCAGCUUUUAUUCCUCUCUGUGUAUUUUUAUAGCUUCUUUGCGUGGAUUUUAGUAUGUAUUAUUUUGGUUAUCAUGCAUUUCAAGUGUUUUCUAAUCUGUGUUAUUUUUUUUUUGACCCAUGGAUUAUUUAGAAAUGCAUUUCUUAAAUUCUGAACAAAUAAGAAUUAUCUUUUGGAGAUUGAUUUCUAACAUAAAUUCAUUAUGAUCAAAGAGCACAUACUUGAUGUUCUUUGUCCUAUGAAAUUUAUUAAGACUUGCUUUAUGAACCCAGCGUGUGGUCAGUUUCUGCAACUGUUGUGUGUGUGCUUGAAAAUCACAUCUAUUCUCUAGUAGUGGAGUACAGUAUUUUUAGGUCAAGUUUGUAAAAUUUUUACAUUUUUAGUGAUAUUUUUGUCUACUUUGGUUUAUUGGUUGUGGAGAGAAAUGUUUUAAAAUAUCAGCCUAUGAUUAUAGAUUUCUCUAAAUUUAUCCUUUUAGUUAUAUGAUAUUUUUCUUUAUAUAUUUUGAGACAACAUUAUUAGACUGAGGUGUAUAAUAGGUCUUGAAAAAUAUCCCUGUUGUCACUAUAAAGUGACCCUCUGUAUCUCUAAAAAUGCUUUUUGCCUGGUACUAAUACAGCUACUUUAUCUCACUUUGGGUUGGUAUUUACAUGGUAUAACCUUUACAAUCCUUUUAUUUUCAGUCUUUCUGUAUCAGAGGUAUUUGUUGUAAACAGCAUAGUUGAUUUUUUCUUAAUCUAGUUUCUUUGCCUUUUAGCUAUUGCAUUUAGCCCAUUUGUAUUUACUGUAAUUACUGAUGUGUUUGUAUUUAAGCUACUCUGGUUUGCUUUCUAUUUUAUUCUAUUUUUCUCUCUUUCUUUUGGAUUGAUUGUUUUAUAUAGUUCAAUGUUUAUCUUUUUCUAGUUUAAAAGUUUUUAAUUCUUUUUUUUCUAUUCUGUUAAUAGUGCCCUGGGAAAUUACAGCAUGCAUCCUAGACUGAGGAAAAUCUAAUGUUUUUCAGACCUUUACCCCCUUCCCAGAUAAUACAGGACCACUCAGCACCCCCCAAUUUAUAUGCUGUUGUUGUUAUAUAUUUUUACAACUCUGUAAGAUGUUAUUAUCAUAGUUCUGUAACGUCAGUGUUCAUUUAGAUCUAUCCACAUAUUUACUACUUUCCUGCCUUUCACCCCUUCUUAUAGCUUUGUCUGUCCACCUGGGAUCAUUUUCCUUCGGCCUGAAGUCCUUCUUUUAGAAUUUCCUUUAAAGUGGGUUCAUGGUAUUUCCAGCAUGGUAUCUGCACCGUCUGCAUCUGGUAUCCUCCAUGCCAGAGUGUCUCUACUUUACCCUUUUUGUUGGAUGGAUUUGGGACAUAAUCUGGAAGGAGAAUCAGCAAGACUUGGUGACACUUCAGAGGCGGGAGAAUAAAAAAGAAACAGCAUCACAGCGGCACCACCAAGCUGUCUCACUGGGCCUGUCGUAGUUGAGGUAGACUCCUCCGGCUGUCGUACUCAGCGUGGUCCCCGAGGGUGAAGAUCUGCCUUCAGAAGAGCCGCUGGAUUUAGAACAGAAGGAUGACUGCCUGCACACAGAGUGCCCGGAGCAGUUCCCAGCACGUGGUUUGUGCUUUAAAAGUGUUGCCGUUGUUAUUGAGAUGUAUAUAUUUUCUUACAAAGUUAAUUAAUUGCCAGUUUUUCUUUUUACAUUUGCUUUCUUUAUUAAAAUGAGCAGUGACUUUGCAUGUGUUUAGGAUGGUAGUAAUUUUUGUUAAAUCACUGUACUUACAUAACACUGCCACACAGAAUC
Long non-coding RNA from Physeter macrocephalus (sperm whale), 2521 nucleotides. RefSeq lists it as uncharacterized. Lineage: Eukaryota; Metazoa; Chordata; Mammalia; Artiodactyla; Physeteridae. The transcript has 3 exons. The record is from RefSeq and is a predicted model, not a curated record.